GUCACGAAAGAAAGAAGAAAGAAGGAAGAAAGAAAGAAAGAAACAAA
This 47-nucleotide non-coding RNA is filed under the name Chromera velia. The record is from RNAcentral. Lineage: Eukaryota; Chromeraceae.